UACAGAGGUGGCAAGCGUUGUUCGGAAUUACUGGGCGUAAAGGGCGCGUAGGCGGUCUUGCAAGUCCCGUGUGAAAUCCCUCGGCUCAACUGAGGAACUGCACGGGAAACUGCUUGGCUUGAGUUCGGGAGAGGGAAGCGGAAUUCCGGGUGUAGCGGUGAAAUGCGUAGAUAUCGGGAGGAACACCAGUGGCGAAGGCGACUACCUGGCCCAUUCUUGACGCUGAGGCGCGAAAGCUAGGGGAGCGAACGGG
RNAcentral lists this ribosomal RNA (253 nucleotides) under uncultured bacterium. RNAcentral describes it as "partial 16S ribosomal RNA". It matches the Rfam family "Bacterial small subunit ribosomal RNA", at positions 524 to 776 of the family's 1533-position model. The record is from RNAcentral.